UACGUAGGGUGCGAGCGUUGUCCGGAAUUAUUGGGCGUAAAGAGCUCGUAGGCGGCCUGUCGCGUCGGAUGUGAAAACUCGGGGCUUAACCCCGAGCCUGCAUUCGAUACGGGCAGGCUAGAGUUCGGCAGGGGAGACUGGAAUUCCUGGUGUAGCGGUGAAAUGCGCAGAUAUCAGGAGGAACACCGGUGGCGAAGGCGGGUCUCUGGACAGUUCCUGACACUGAGGCGCGAAAGCGUGGGGAGCAAACAGG
RNAcentral lists this ribosomal RNA (253 nucleotides) under uncultured bacterium. RNAcentral's name for it is "partial 16S ribosomal RNA". It matches the Rfam family "Bacterial small subunit ribosomal RNA", at positions 524 to 776 of the family's 1533-position model. The record is from RNAcentral.